RNAcentral lists this ribosomal RNA (495 nucleotides) under Pleurocordyceps nipponica. Its description in RNAcentral is "SSU rRNA". It matches the Rfam family "Eukaryotic small subunit ribosomal RNA", at positions 65 to 571 of the family's 1831-position model. The record is from RNAcentral. Lineage: Eukaryota; Fungi; Ascomycota; Sordariomycetes; Hypocreales; Polycephalomycetaceae.
AUAAGCAUUAUACGGCGAAACUGCGAAUGGCUCAUUAUAUAAGUUAUCGUUUAUUUGAUAGCACAUUACUACUUCGAUAACCGUGGUAAUUCUAGAGCUAAUACACGCUAAAAAUCCCGACUUCGGAAGGGAUGUAUUUAUUAGAUUAAAAACCAAUGCCCUCUGGGCUCUCUGGUGAAUCAUGAUAACUGCUCGAAUCGCAGGGCCUCGUGCCGGCGAUGGUUCAUUCAAAUUUCUUCCCUAUCAACUUUCGAUGUUUGGGUAUUGGCCAAACAUGGUUACAACGGGUAACGGAGGGUUAGGGCUCGACCCCGGAGAAGGAGCCUGAGAGACGGCUACUACAUCCAAGGAAGGCAGCAGGCGCGCAAAUUACCCAAUCCCGACACGGGGAGGUAGUGACAAUAAAUACUGAUACAGGGCUCUUUCGGGUCUUGUAAUUGGAAUGAGUACAAUUUAAAUCCCUUAACGAGGAACAAUUGGAGGGCAAGUCUGGGC